Molecule: ribosomal RNA, 435 nt
Rfam family: Bacterial small subunit ribosomal RNA
ACGGGAGGCAGCAGUCGGGAAUAUUGCGCAAUGGAGGAAACUCUGACGCAGUGACGCCGCGUAUAGGAAGAAGGUUUUCGGAUUGUAAACUAUUUUAGACAGGGAAGAAAAAAGACAGUACCUGUAGAAUAAGCUCCGGCUAACUACGUGCCAGCAGCCGCGGUAAUACGUAGGGAGCAAGCGUUAUCCGGAUUUAUUGGGUGUAAAGGGUGCGUAGACGGGAGAACAAGUUAGUUGUGAAAGCCCUCGGCUCAACUGAGGAACUGCAACUAAAACUAUAUUUCUUGAGUGCAGGAGAGGAAAGCGGAAUUCCUAGUGUAGCGGUGAAAUGCGUAGAUAUUAGGAGGAACACCAGUGGCGAAGGCGGCUUACUGGACUGUAACUGACGUUGAGGCUCGAAAGCGUGGGGAGCAAACAGGAUUAGAUACCCUGGUA